CCGAAUAUUUAAGCGGUAAUGUUUACUACCUUUCAGCCAAAAAGCGGGAUGGUGUAAAAGGGGAGUUCGAAUCUCUCUAUUCUGA
This 85-nucleotide transfer RNA is filed under the name Bipolaris sorokiniana. Its description in RNAcentral is "tRNA-Pro". Lineage: Eukaryota; Fungi; Ascomycota; Dothideomycetes; Pleosporales; Pleosporaceae. The record is from RNAcentral.